AGGGUUCGAUUCUGGCUCAGGAUGAACGCUGGCGGCGUGCUUAACACAUGCAAGUCGAGCGAAGCGAUUCAAAUGAAGUUUCGGAUGGAUUUGAAUUGACUUAGCGGCGGACGGGUGAGUAACGCGUGGGUAACCUGCCUCAUACAGGGGGAUAACAGUUGGAAACGACUGCUAAUACCGCAUAAGCACACAGUGCCGCAUGGUACAGUGUGAAAAACUCCGGUGGUAUGAGAUGGACCCGCGUCUGAUUAGGUAGUUGGUGAGGUAACGGCCCACCAAGCCCGACGAUCAGUAGCCGACCUGAGAGGGUGACCGGCCACAUUGGGACUGAGACACGGCCCAAACUCCUACGGGAGGCAGCAGUGGGGAAUAUUGGACAAUGGGGGAAACCCUGAUCCAGCCGACGCCGCGUGAGUGAAGAAGUAUUUCGGUAUGUAAAGCUCUAUCAGCAGGGAAGAAAAUGACGGUACCUGACUAAGAAGCCCCGGCUAACUACGUGCCAGCAGCUGC
This 510-nucleotide ribosomal RNA is filed under the name uncultured bacterium. RNAcentral's name for it is "bacterial SSU rRNA". It matches the Rfam family "Bacterial small subunit ribosomal RNA", at positions 8 to 518 of the family's 1533-position model. The record is from RNAcentral.